This is a long non-coding RNA of Microplitis mediator, 834 nucleotides long. RefSeq lists it as uncharacterized. Lineage: Eukaryota; Metazoa; Arthropoda; Insecta; Hymenoptera; Braconidae. The record is from RefSeq and is a predicted model, not a curated record. The transcript is spliced from 2 exons.
AGCAUUGAUUCAGCAUAAAAUUAAAGUAAAGUGAAUGAACGUAAACCCUUGACUACUACUCUAGUGACAUAACUUAUUGAUAGUACACGGGAAUAAAUUUAACUCUGUAUUUGAGAAAAAAAUAUCAACCCCACAAUCCCGGUGACUAUAUAAUUAAUUAAAAUAAUAAUUAUUAUUAUUGUCUAUUAGUACAAAAGCUUUAUGCGGAAAAGUAAUAUUCCACUAUAAGCUUUCAUUGAUGAAAUGCUUAGCCUUCAAUAUUCAGCAAGUAUUUUGUUGCGUAGGCGUUCUUUAACGAUCGAUGAGUUACCCGGGUGAGCUGACUAGUUUAGUCGAGCUCCGUUGCUAAUAAUAAUAUUUUAUUAAUGUUUAUAAUCUACAAUAAUUCCCAAUACAUAUUUAAAAAAUUAAUAUUGAUUUUAUAUAGUUAUUUAUCUCCGGUUUAUUUUUUUAAUAGAUAAUAAUAAACAAGUUGAAAAAAUAAAAAAGCGUCAUGUUUGACUUGUUAUUAAUUCAUGACCACGACUCUUAUCUAACAUAUAUAGUGUUAUGUGUGACCUUGGUACCAGGGGUCUACGAUCGAUCAGAAAAGCUCUUAUUCUAGAUGUCAAGCGGCAUUACUUGUACAUCUCUUGUAGACUAAAAUGUUGUCGUUUCUUAACAUUGGCUGUUAUUUUUGAAUACCAAUUGGUAAAUAAAUUUGAUGAAGUUGGACUGGACGUCGGUGAUGAGGAUUGAAUGGCAUUAGGCGAAAGUUUUGUAAUAUUAACUGCACCACUAGCACCACCAGCGGGUUCACUAGUCUGUCUUUUAAAAAGCAUAUUGCACAAUUCA